UCUUUCGCCACAAAGAACACUUCUUAUUUACUGCAUCAGGCACAGCAUUUCACAAAAUUAUGGACAAUUAGGGGAUCGCGGCCGCUCGAUUUCAAGUUGGAGAGCCCGGAUGGCUCAUGGAGAGCGUAAAAAAAAUAAUGGAGUUGAAACGCCUGCUGUUGAACUACACCGAGACUGAAAUUGCGUCUGGGUUGUUAAAAAGAGACAAUGUUUUCCUGUUGACGCGCGAGAUGGAUCAGCAAAGAUAUGGAGACCCGGCUCAAAACAGCAUCUGGGACACUUCUAGAGCUUUAUUGACUUGAUCAUUAAUUUUUGUAUUAGUGUGAGUACUCUGUAAAUCUGUGAAUUUAAUUUCUUUGCAAUAAAAGUAACCUUUAAA
Molecule: long non-coding RNA, 379 nt
Organism: Neocloeon triangulifer
Lineage: Eukaryota; Metazoa; Arthropoda; Insecta; Ephemeroptera; Baetidae
Exons: 3
Source: RefSeq, a predicted model, not a curated record